UCCUUGAGAGAUGCGUUAUCAUUAUCAAAUAGGGAGAAAAUAUGGAUCAAUAUGCUUGAGGGAUUGAAGAUGAAAAUCCCACAGAAGAUCCAUCUGAUGAUUUGAUGAAGACAACGACAGUUAAAGUCAGUGGCAAUAGGGAAAUAACCUUCAACCUUAAUGAUGGUCCAAAAUAUGUCAUGUCUCAUCAAACAAAAGGAGAAUCAAGAUGAAAGUUCAUAUAUGAUAAGAAGCAAUCUAGCAAGGCAUCUUGAAGCCUCAGAUAAAGUGUAAAAGCUCGCCAGGGCCUGUUUGUGUGUCUGUCUGAGUGAUCUUAGUAUUGUAAAAGUAGGAGAAUAACUUAGAAGUAUUAAGGAAACUUAUACAUAGACUCCUAAAACAUAUUUUCAAAUAUUUUUUAUAAUGAAAAUUGUUUUUUAAACCAAGUGAUUAAAAAAUUUGUCCAAAGCUUUUCCAAAUUAUUUUUGAACUAAUCAAUUCAUUUGUAAGUUGUGUCAAUAGAAUGGCAAAACUUUUUUCUGCUAGCCAAUCCAUUGGAUCAUUAAGUCAAUUGAUUAUGAAAU
RNAcentral lists this long non-coding RNA (563 nucleotides) under Lathyrus oleraceus (garden pea). RNAcentral's name for it is "Pisum sativum (pea) long non-coding RNA (PSAT_LNC023126)". Lineage: Eukaryota; Viridiplantae; Streptophyta; Magnoliopsida; Fabales; Fabaceae. The record is from RNAcentral.